GAUGAACGCUAGCUACAGGCUUAACACAUGCAAGUCGAGGGGCAGCGAGAGUGAUAGCAAUAUUACUUGUCGGCGACCGGCGCACGGGUGCGUAACGCGUAUGCAACCUACCAUCAACAGGGGGAUAACACUGAGAAAUUGGUACUAAUACCCCAUAAUAUCUCAUGCGGCAUCGCAUGGGGUUGAAAACUCCGGUGGUUGAUGAUGGGCAUGCGUUGUAUUAGCUGGUUGGUGAGGUAACGGCUCACCAAGGCGACGAUACAUAGGGGGACUGAGAGGUUAGCCCCCCACAUUGGUACUGAGACACGGACCAA
RNAcentral lists this ribosomal RNA (314 nucleotides) under uncultured bacterium. Its description in RNAcentral is "bacterial SSU rRNA". It matches the Rfam family "Bacterial small subunit ribosomal RNA", at positions 28 to 334 of the family's 1533-position model. The record is from RNAcentral.